CUGAAUCAGUGUGUGUGUUAGUGGAAGCGUCUGGAAAGGCGCGCGAUACAGGGUGACAGCCCCGUACACAAAAAUGCACAUGCUGUGAGCUCGAUGAGUAGGGCGGGACACGUGGUAUCCUGUCUGAAUAUGGGGGGACCAUCCUCCAAGGCUAAAUACUCCUGACUGACCGAUAGUGAACCAGUACCGUGAGGGAAAGGCGAAAAGAACCCCGGCGAGGGGAGUGAAAAAGAACCUGAAACCGUGUACGUACAAGCAGUGGGAGCACAGAGCAAUCUGUGUGACUGCGUACCUUUUGUAUAAUGGGUCAGCGACUUAUAUUCUGUAGCAAGGUUAACCGAAUAGGGGAGCCGAAGGGAAACCGAGUCUUAACUGGGCGUUAAGUUGCAGGGUAUAGACCCGAAACCCGGUGAUCUAGCCAUGGGCAGGUUGAAGGUUGGGUAACACUAACUGGAGGACCGAACCGACUAAUGUUGAAAAAUUAGCGGAUGACUUGUGGCUGGGGGUGAAAGGCCAAUCAAACCGGGAGAUAGCUGGUUCUCCCCGAAAGCUAUUUAGGUAGCGCCUCGUGAAUUCAUCUCCGGGGGUAGAGCACUGUUUCGGCAAGGGGGUCAUCCCGACUUACCAACCCGAUGCAAACUGCGAAUACCGGAGAAUGUUAUCACGGGAGACACACGGCGGGUGCUAACGUCCGUCGUGAAGAGGGAAACAACCCAGACCGCCAGCUAAGGUCCCAAAGUCAUGGUUAAGUGGGAAACGAUGUGGGAAGGCCCAGACAGCCAGGAUGUUGGCUUAGAAGCAGCCAUCAUUUAAAGAAAGCGUAAUAGCUCACUGGUCGAGUCGGCCUGCGCGGAAGAUGUAACGGGGCUAAACCAUGCACCGAAGCUGCGGCAGCGACGCUUAUGCGUUGUUGGGUAGGGGAGCGUUCUGUAAGCCUGCGAAGGUGUGCUGUGAGGCAUGCUGGAGGUAUCAGAAGUGCGAAUGCUGACAUAAGUAACGAUAAAGCGGGUGAAAAGCCCGCUCGCCGGAAGACCAAGGGUUCCUGUCCAACGUUAAUCGGGGCAGGGUGAGUCGACCCCUAAGGCGAGGCCGAAAGGCGUAGUCGAUGGGAAACAGGUUAAUAUUCCUGUACUUGGUGUUACUGCGAAGGGGGGACGGAGAAGGCUAUGUUGGCCGGGCGACGGUUGUCCCGGUUUAAGCGUGUAGGCUGGUUUUCCAGGCAAAUCCGGAAAACUAAGGCUGAGGCGUGAUGACGAGGCACUACGGUGCUGAAGCAACAAAUGCCCUGCUUCCAGGAAAAGCCUCUAAGCAUCAGGUAACAUCAAAUCGUACCCCAAACCGACACAGGUGGUCAGGUAGAGAAUACCAAGGCGCUUGAGAGAACUCGGGUGAAGGAACUAGGCAAAAUGGUGCCGUAACUUCGGGAGAAGGCACGCUGAUAUGUAGGUGAAG
RNAcentral lists this ribosomal RNA (1452 nucleotides) under Escherichia coli. RNAcentral's name for it is "partial 23S ribosomal RNA". It matches the Rfam family "Bacterial large subunit ribosomal RNA", at positions 312 to 1767 of the family's 2925-position model. The record is from RNAcentral. Lineage: Bacteria; Pseudomonadati; Pseudomonadota; Gammaproteobacteria; Enterobacterales; Enterobacteriaceae.